GAAAUAAUAUACAAAAAUAAAAUAAUAUUUUACUGCUAACCAAGUGAAAUAAAAUUACAACAAUUUUUAGUAAUCGCAUGUGAACAGAUUGAAGUUACUAUUUUGCAUCAUGUAUGUUAAAUAAGUGCACGUGCUAAGUAAAUAUUUGUGAUGAAAGUAUAAGAUCAACAGCAACAACUCCUGAAAAUUUCAAUAGGAUUGGUCAAUUAUUUUGGCUGAAACAAGCGUUGGAACCAUAAUGGAAAGCACAGCCAA
Ceratitis capitata (Mediterranean fruit fly) is the source of this 255-nucleotide long non-coding RNA. RefSeq lists it as uncharacterized. NCBI's taxonomy places the organism in Eukaryota, Metazoa, Arthropoda, Insecta, Diptera, Tephritidae. The transcript has 2 exons. The record is from RefSeq and is a predicted model, not a curated record.